Dermacentor albipictus is the source of this 1182-nucleotide long non-coding RNA. RefSeq lists it as uncharacterized. NCBI's taxonomy places the organism in Eukaryota, Metazoa, Arthropoda, Arachnida, Ixodida, Ixodidae. The record is from RefSeq and is a predicted model, not a curated record.
GUGUUGUAAAUGUUGUUAAUUCGCCGUAAAUAUCUCUUGAUUUGUACUCAAGAGUGGAGCAAGACCCCAAGGAAGAGAGAUUGACGCAUCGGGAGCGAAGAACAGCAACGAUGGAUGGUUACGCUGCUUGGGUCUCGGCACGUUCGAAUUGGCAAAGUUCCGAAUUUGUCGCUGUGUUGUGUACGCUUGUGCGCUCAUCAUUUGCCGUCAUCGCGCGGAGAUAUUUGCGCUGGAUGUCUUUCACUUCGUGUACAAAACUCUGCACGCUGCGGCAUCGAAGAAGUUGUCCUGUGUUUGGGUGCACGUAUGCGCUUGGACACGGAUAGCCUGCUUGCUCUCAACGGGUGUUCAACAGUCUACGCGCGCUCGUAACUUCCUCAUGAGGCAAGUUGCUGUUGUGCUGGAGCUGAGAAGAGGUCUGCUGCCUGCAAUGGGUCCAUCUCUCUCAAGUUAUUGCAGUAUUAUAGCUCUCAAGGUUCAAAAAAAGUAUGGUGGAAGCUGUUGCCAAGGUUCCGACCAGAAAAGACAGCCAGUAUAAAAGGGUCCACGCCACUGAUCUCUACUACAGGGGAUGAACAGCACAUCGAGCGCCCUCGACUGAAGCCGGCCUUGUCCUGGAAGUUGGUGCUUCACAACUUUGCGGCAGCACUUUGUUGCACGGCCUGUGGAGACAAGGUUUCUUAGACAUGGCCAUGGCCCUCAAGGAAGAUGCCGAGGCCACAGGCAGUUCCUCCAGUGACCGUGAAAAGGUCCCCUGGGGCACAAGUCUGGUUUGGCACCCCCGCCUUUCUCCUGCAGCUUUUCUGUCUACUUAGCUAACCAGCAGCAAGUUUAUCCUUGCAAGCGUUUGGAGUCAAGAACAACUUUCACCAGGAAGAAGUGCAAGACGAGUGAUUGAAGAAAAUAAAGUUGCUUCUGUGGUCUAAGAACUUGAGUACUGAAAUGUUGCACCUUUUUGUAUAUAUGCUAUGCAGUGCAUUCAUAUCACAAAGUGCAAAGUGUUUUAUCUCUGCAGCCAUGUCAGUGUGUUGGCAAGACAAUUUUCUCAAUGGUGACCUGCUGCUUUGACUAUGAGCUGCCUUCAUGACAUUUGCAUUAAAGGAGAUGUACUAUCGUGGACAAAAGUACCCUGGAAGUGCGAGCGUUGACCAAAUUGCAUUUCUGCUCAAGACCGCUGAAAAC